AACGAACGCUGGCGGCAUGCCUAACACAUGCAAGUCGAACGAGACCUUCGGGUCUAGUGGCGCACGGGUGCGUAACGCGUGGGAACCUGCCCUUAGGUUCGGAAUAACUCCCCGAAAGGGGUGCUAAUACCGGAUAAUGUCUUCGGACCAAAGAUUUAUCGCCUUUGGAUGGGCCCGCGUUGGAUUAGCUAGUUGGUAGGGUAAAAGCCUACCAAGGCGACGAUCCAUAGCUGGUCUCAGAGGAUGAUCAGCCACAGGGGGACUGAGACACGGCCCAGACUCCUACGGGAGGCAGCAGUGAGGAAUAUUGGACGAUGGGCGAAAGCCUGAUCCAGCUAUGCCGCGUGAGUGAUGAAGGCCUUAGGGUAGUAAAGCUCUUUUACCCGAGAUGAUAAUGACGGUACCGGGAGAAUAAGCUCCGGCUAACUCCGUG
This 433-nucleotide ribosomal RNA is filed under the name uncultured bacterium. RNAcentral describes it as "partial 16S ribosomal RNA". It matches the Rfam family "Bacterial small subunit ribosomal RNA", at positions 29 to 507 of the family's 1533-position model. The record is from RNAcentral.